GUGAGGAAUAUUGGUCAAUGGGCGGGAGCCUGAACCAGCCAAGUCGCGUGAAGGAAGAAGGAUCUAUGGUUCGUAAACUUCUUUUGCAGGGGAAUAAAGUGCAGGACGUGUCCUGUUUUGUAUGUACCCUGAGAAUAAGGAUCGGCUAACUCCGUGCCAGCAGCCGCGGUAAUACGGAGGAUCCGAGCGUUAUCCGGAUUUAUUGGGUUUAAAGGGUGCGUAGGUGGUUUGAUAAGUCAGCGGUGAAAGUUUGCAGCUUAACUGUAAAAAUGCCGUUGAAACUGUCGGACUUGAGUGUAAAUGAGGUAGGCGGAAUGCGUGGUGUAGCAGUGAAAUGCAUAGAUAUCACGCAGAACUCCGAUUGCGAAGGCAGCUUACUAAGCUACAACUGACACUGAAGCACGAAAGCGUGGGGAUCAAACAGGAUUAGAAACCCGUGUAGUCC
RNAcentral lists this ribosomal RNA (445 nucleotides) under uncultured bacterium. RNAcentral's name for it is "partial 16S ribosomal RNA". It matches the Rfam family "Bacterial small subunit ribosomal RNA", at positions 354 to 796 of the family's 1533-position model. The record is from RNAcentral.